RNAcentral lists this ribosomal RNA (494 nucleotides) under uncultured bacterium. RNAcentral's name for it is "partial 16S ribosomal RNA". It matches the Rfam family "Bacterial small subunit ribosomal RNA", at positions 28 to 507 of the family's 1533-position model. The record is from RNAcentral.
GACGAACGCUGGCGGCGUGCUUAACACAUGCAAGUCGAACGGAAGGGCCUGCUUUCCCUCGUGGAUUGCGGGUACUCGAGUGGCGAACGGGUGAGUAACACGUGAGUGAUCUGCCCCCAACUUGGGUAUAAGCCUGGGAAACUGGGUCUAAUUCCCGAUAGGACUGCAGGGUGGUGCCUGUGGUGGAAAACGAUUUUCUAGUGGUUGGGGAUGAGCUCGCGGCCUAUCAGCUUGUUGGUGGGGUAAUGGCCUACCAAGGCGGCGACGGGUAGCCGGCCUGAGAGGGUGGACGGCCACAUUGGGACUGAGAUACGGCCCAGACUCCUACGGGAGGCAGCAGUGGGGAAUAUUGCACAAUGGGCGGAAGCCUGAUGCAGCGACGCCGCGUGGGGGAUGACGGCCUUCGGGUUGUAAACUCCUUUCGACCGCGAGGAAGCCACCUGGUUGGAAGGGUGGUGACGGUAGUGGUAGAAGAAGCACCGGCUAACUACGUG